RNAcentral lists this ribosomal RNA (246 nucleotides) under uncultured bacterium. Its description in RNAcentral is "partial 16S ribosomal RNA". It matches the Rfam family "Bacterial small subunit ribosomal RNA", at positions 523 to 769 of the family's 1533-position model. The record is from RNAcentral.
AUACGUAGGGAGCGAGCGUUAUCCGGAUUUAUUGGGCGUAAAGCGUGUGUAGGCGGUUUAUUAAGUUUAAGAUAAAAGCCCGGGGCUCAACUCCGGUUCGUCUUAAAAACUGGUAGACUUGAGUGUGGCAGAGGUAAAUGGAAUUUCUAGUGUAGCGGUGAAAUGCGUAGAUAUUAGAAGGAACACCAGUGGCGAAGGCGAUUUACUGGGCCAUAACUGACGCUGAGGCACGAAAGCGUGGGGAGC